Long non-coding RNA from Salvelinus fontinalis (brook trout), 2472 nucleotides. RefSeq lists it as uncharacterized. The record is from RefSeq and is a predicted model, not a curated record. The transcript is spliced from 3 exons. Lineage: Eukaryota; Metazoa; Chordata; Actinopteri; Salmoniformes; Salmonidae.
CCAAACCAGCGGUGAGUUGUUGGUUGCAAAGCGCUGUACGUCAAAAGUGAUUUGUAUACUCCCAAGUGAUGAUUUAAAUGUACAAUUUAUAUACAUUUGUUUGUAAAUGUUAUUCGAACAUCACACAUAAGAUGCAGUGUUUUUUGGAGAAUAUUGGUUGUGCAUUUUGGUUGUAAAGAAUUCCCGCCAGUACUAGCUAGCAACUUACUGUGUCUGGUGGGGGGGUCAUAUAUUUUGUACAGUGCGUGAGUGCAGAGUUGGAUGGUGAGCCGUGCAUUGCAUGACGUGCAAUUUUGUGCUGUUCCUAUCAGAAUAAAUCUCCAUGACUGGUGCUACACGUUGGAGUUCGUGUCGAGGAUUGAUUCUACACAACGCAAGAAGAGUACUGUUACAAUUUGUUUAUUAUUUGAAUCAGCUGUGUAGUAUUAGGUCAAAAAUUAAAACGUGCACCACUUGAAUCCCGAGGACCGAGUUUGGGCAACCCUGCUCUUAUCCCAACAAUGCAGUAAUCCCCUUCCUCUAGCGACACAACGGACGCGUGCGUGCGCAACUAUGGGGCAAAACAUACUGGCUAGUUUGAUUAUUGUUGACAACAGAUGGUCCGAGACGCUCUGACUAGUAGACCUGGUGGGCAAGACGUAUUAGAAGACAACCAAAACAUUGGACCGCAGAACCAGGAGAGAGGAGAUUGCCAUUUUAGUCAGCCACGUGAAAGAGACGACGCCAAUCUGACCACAAUGAAUCAAAACAAACUGUACAUGAAUGUUAUUUGGCCUCAUUAUGAGACUGUAGAACGAUACAGCGCCUUCAUCAACACAACUUUGGUUCAACAUAUUUGGUGUGUGUUAGAGCAGGAGGCUUCCCACUCGUCAACAGAACCUUAUGCUCUUGGAAUUGUGACCCUCUUUCCUUCGUUGAGAGAUCCUUUAACCGCCAAAAGGUGUUGGUACCCUCUUUCCUUCGUUGAGAGAUCCUUUAACCGCCAAAAGGUGUUGGUACCCUCUUUCCUUCGUUGAGAGAUCCUUUAACCGCCAAAAGGUCUUGGUAGAGUGUUCUUGUUUUAGUGUUUUGACACUUGCUCUGUGGACUGAAAGGGGCAUCAAAACAGUCAUAUAAUCAAGUCUACAAAUAACAACCAUUUCACUACCAUGUUGGGUCACCUUUUCCCAACAGCCAUUUGACUACCAUGUUGGGUCACCUUUUCCCAACAACCAUUUGACUACCAUGUUGGGUCACCUUUUCCCAAUAACCAUUUGACUACCAUGUUGGGUCACCUUUUCCCAACAGCCAUUUCACUACCAUGUUGGGUCACCUUUUCCCAAUAACCAUUUCACUACCAUGUUGGGUCACCUUUUCCCAACAGCCAUUUCACUACCAUGUUGAGUCACCUUUUCCCAAUAACCAUUUGACUACCAUGUUGGGUCACCUUUUCCCAACAACCAUUUCACUACCAUGUUGGGUCACCUUUUCCCAAUAACCAUUUGACUACCAUGUUGGGUCACCUUUUCCCAAUAACCAUUUGACUACCAUGUUGGGUCACCUUUUCCCAAUAACCAUUUCAUUACCAUGUUGGGUCACCUUUUCCCAAUAACCAUUUGACUACCAUGUUGGGUCACCUUUUCCCAAUAACCAUUUGACUACCAUGUUGAGUCACCUUUUCCCAAUAACCAUUUGACUACCAUGUUGGGUCACCUUUUCCCAAUAACCAUUUCACUACCAUGUUGGGUCACCUUUUCCCAAUAACCAUUUCACUACCAUGUUGGGUCACCUUUUCCCAAUAACCAUUUGACUACCAUGUUGGGUCACCUUUUCCCAAUAACCAUUUCACUACCAUGUUGGGUCACCUUUUCCCAAUAACCAUUUGACUACCAUGUCGGGUCACCUUUUCCCAACAACCAUUUGACUACCAUGUUGAGUCACCUUUUCCCAAUAACCAUUUGACUACCAUGUUGGGUCACCUUUUCCCAACAACCAUUUCACUACCAUGUUGGGUCACCUUUUCCCAACAACCAUUUGACUACCAUGUUGGGUCACCUUUUCCCAACAACCAUUUGACUACCAUGUUGGGUCACCUUUUCCCAACAACCAUUUGACUACCAUGUUGGGUCACCUUUUCCCAACAACCAUUUCACUACCAUGUUGGGUCACCUUUUCCCAACAACCAUUUGACUACCAUGUUGAGUCACCUUUUCCCAAUAACCAUUUGACUACCAUGUUGGGUCACCUUUUCCCAAUAACCAUUUGACUACCAUGUUGGGUCACCUUUUCCCAAUAACCAUUUGACUACCAUGUUGGGUCACCUUUUCCCAAUAACCAUUUCACUACCAUGUUGGGUCACCUUUUCCCAAUAACACAUUCAGGGCUCUGCCUCAUCUGUUUAGCAUGUUAUUUUGGCAUUAAUACUUGUCACAUAUCUGUUUGCAAACAAUGUAAAAAUAUAAAUCAUUGAGUUAAUAAAGCAGCAUACAAACA